This is a long non-coding RNA of Pygocentrus nattereri (red-bellied piranha), 4459 nucleotides long. RefSeq lists it as uncharacterized. The transcript is spliced from 3 exons. NCBI's taxonomy places the organism in Eukaryota, Metazoa, Chordata, Actinopteri, Characiformes, Serrasalmidae. The record is from RefSeq and is a predicted model, not a curated record.
GGCUCUCCACCCUUUCCCGCCUGAGAACCAUGGCCUCGGAUUUGGAGGGUAUCAGAUGGGAACUAGACUCCCCCCUCUUUUCUCCCCAUCGGUGGAUCCUCCUGAUAAGGAUAAGAGUGGUUCCAUUGCUCACGGCUGAAGAGAAACUUGGCACAGGGGACAGUACAUCGAUGACAUGAUGGCAUCAUUCCUUGGAGGAUUAGGCUGUUUGCAUCUGCCACAAAUGUCUGUAUUGUGGUACACUGUCAUCACCAUAUGCAGUGGGACACAGUGUCACCAGUAUUGUGAAGCUACGAGCAAGAAAAGAAACUUUGGGUUCCCCUUCAAGUAAUGUCACAUACAAGUCCAGGAUUUUUUUUUUAAAUAUAUGCCCAGAUAGCAUUUGAUGCCAGCAACAUGUUUCAAAAAAGUUGGGAUGGGGCAACAAAAGGCAACCGGUCAUUAUUAGAUAUAAAAAGAGAGGCUGAUGGGAAUGGGUUUACCACUCUCUGAAAGACAGGCAGGCAAAUAGUGCAACAGUUCAAGAAUAACAUUUCUCCACAUAGCAAAGAACUUGGGGAUUGCAUGAACUAUGGCACUCAAAAUUAAUAAAAGAUUUAGAUAAUCCAGACAGAUCUCUGUAUGCAAAGGACAAGGGCAAAAAAAACAAUACUGGCUGGCCGUGAUCUUCAAGCGAAGCGACGCUGAUAUAUUUUUAAGAACAACUGAACUGGAGUUAGUGGAGUUUAAAACAGCACCUCAUGUAUUUCCAUGACGUCAGUGAGCGUGAACAGCCAAUGAGCACUCACUAGCAGUAAUGCCUGCCUUCUUCUGCCCCAUACCUGUUUACUGCAGAAAAAACGGAAAUAUAUAGGUGAGUUGCCUUUUGUAGUGCAUUAGCAGCCUCCGAGGCACAAAAAACAGAGCAUCAAUAGAGUCUUUAAGACUGUUGACAAUAUUUUGCCUCCUUCCAGGCUGUUUUUCAGGUUAUCGUACAAGACUGAACAAGGUGGUUAUCAGGCUAGACAGUCUUCAUGGUUUCAAAGGCAGAUAAAAUGUUGAUGCUGCUUAAGCCUGUCAACAAAGCAACACAUUAUUGCAAGCUACUUAUGUUGUUGCGCUUUGCUUCAGACUGAAGAAGGAUGAGCAAGAUUCCUGUCAGGCUAUACUUCUCAGGCUGCUAACCCCAAGUACCCAGACAGGAGUUCAUCGGUUCUUAAGCACAACUACCUAAGUAGCCUGUAAGAAGGUGUUAAAAGUCAUGCAUGAACAAUGUUUUUUUUUUGUUUUUUUUUCUCUGAGGCCACAGACACAAGCUAGCCUGACAGGAAUCUGGUUCACCCUUAUUCAGUCUGAUUCAAUGAACAGUCUGGAAGGAGACUUUACGCUCUUUUAGAGGCAUAAACAUCUUAACCAGUUUCUAAGGCUGUUAACAGAACAAGACAUACUUGUAAGCUUCUUAUGUCAUUGCACUUAGUUUCAGACUGAAGAAAGGUGAGUCAGAUUCCUGUCAGGCUUCCUAGUGUUAGCAGCUUGAAUAGACUUGUGUAGACCUCUCAGGCUGUUAACACUAAGUAGCCUGACAGGAGUCUAGCUCAUCUGUCUUUGACCUUAAGCACAACUACAUAAGUAACCUGCAAAAAGGUCUUGUCUUGUUAACAGUCUAAAAGACAAACAAUAUUACCUGUAACCUGAGGCCACAAACACAAGUUGCCUGACAAGAAUCUGGUUCACUAUUUUUCAGUCAAAUGCAAGGCACAAUGACUGAUAAACAGCCUGGAAGGACACUUCGCUUACGUAGAGGUAUACAUGUCUUUACCUUUUUCUAAGUCUGUUAACAGAACAAGACAUACAAUGCCUUGAAAAAGUAUCAUACCCCUUGAGCUUUUCCAUUUUUUCAUGUUACACCCACAAGCUUAAAUGUAUUUUCUUGGGAUUUUAUGUGGUAGACCAACACAAAGUAGCAAGUAAUUGUAAAGUGAAAAAAAGUUUCAAAAACGUUUAAUAAAUACAUUUGAAAAAGUGUGGCAGGCAUUUGUAUUUAGCCUCCAUACUCUGAUACCCCUAAAUAAAAUCCAGUGUGACCAAUUGCCUUCAGAAGUCACUUAAUUAGUAAACAGAGUCCACAUGUGUGUAAUUUAUUCUCAGUGUAACUAGAGCUGUUCUGUGAAGACCUCAGAGGUUUUUUAGAGAACAUUAGAGAUCAAACAGCAUCAUGAAAACCAAGCAACACACCAGACAGGUCAGGGAUAAAGUUGUGGAGAAGUGUAAAGCCAGGUUAGGUUACAAAAACACACCCCAAGCUAUGAACAUCUCACGGAGCACUGUUCAGUCCAUCAUCUGAAAAUGGAAGGAGUAUGGCACAACUGCAGACCUACCAAGGCCAUCCAAUUAAACUGACAACCCAAACAAGGGGAGCACUAAUGAGAGAAGUGGCCACGAGGCCCAUGGUCACUCUAGAGGAGUUGCAGAGAUCCACAGCUCAGGUGGGAGGACCUGUCCUUAGGACAACUAUUAGUCAUGUACUUCACAAAUCUGGCCUUUAUGGAAAAGUGGUAAGAAGAGUGUCAUUUUUGAAAACAAUGGGCAAAAAUUUCAGCCUCUAGAUGUGCAAAGCUGGUAGAGACAUGCCACAAAAAAUUUGCAGCUGUAAUUGCAGCGAAAGGUGGUAAACAAAUAUAUGCCACAGUUUCCAGAUUUUUUUUUAAUUAAAAAUUUGGAAAACUGUGUAUAAUUUUCUUUUCACUUAACAAUUACCUGCUAUUUUGUGUUGGUCUAUCACAUAAAAUCCCAAUAAAAUACAUUUAGGUUUGUGGGUGUAAUGUGAAAAAAUGUGGAAAAGUGGUAUGAGUAUGGGGUAUGAAUACUUUUUCAAGGCACUGUAUUUGCAAACACCUUCAAUUUUAUUCUCUGCCUUAGAGAAAUAAACACAUUUACCAGUUUCUAAGGCUGUUAACAGAACAUGACAUCCUGGCAAGCUACUUAUAUUUGUCUUAAUAUGUUGCCUUAGAGGCGUAAAUGUCUCUAAGGCAGCCAAGAUAAAGCGUCCUUCCAGGCUGUUUAUCACUUAUUUUGCCUUGCAUCAGAGUGAAGCAGGUUGAACCAGAUAGCUUGUAUAGACUUAUCAGGUUGUUAACACUAAGUAGCCUGACAGGAACUUAUCUGUCUUUGACCUUAAAGACAACUACCCAAGUGGCCUGCAAGAAGGUCUUGUCUUGUUAACAGCCUCAGAGGCAUGAUUACCUGCCUAUGAGGCCACAAAAACAAGCUAGUCCAAUAGGAAUUUGGCUCACUCUUCUUCACUCUGAUGCAAGCCACAAUAAAUAAACAGCCUGGAAGGAGACUUUGUCUUGCAGAAAUGAGGCAUAUACAGUGGAGGUGUGAACCUUCCAACCAUUCAUCUGGAAACUCAUCUGGUAAUCCAGAAAAGACUUGAACAAAUUCUUGCCCAGUUUAUGUGUCAUUUCAGUUCAUUUCUGUGAACAACACUCAGGGGUGCAUAGUCAGAGCUUUGCUUGAACACAGUGGCCAUGAUCUUAAAAUUCACAAGGAGAAAUCCAUCAGCUAUAUUGAUGAUGGCCUACACCAUCUUACUUAUAAGUGGUUGUUACAAGGGCUUUCCAGUAGUGCUAUUCUGUUAAAAACUGUUGAAUGGGCAACCAAGCAUGGGAUAUUCAAAUCUUUUGGAUAGAGGGUAUUAUGUCAAACCUCAGGACAUCAGAAACAUCAGGAAGUUUUAAUUUGGAGCUACGAAUUGAUGGCAGUGACUGCAUUUCUGUGGAUAAAUUGAUCAAAACAGAUUUACAGGACAGCAUUCUUUAUUAUCAACCAUUGUCACAUACUGAGAAACAGCCACUUGUAGUUGUGUAUAGUUCUCCUUGGCUGUUAGAACAAUGCAAGAAAUUUGGACCUAACAUGAUAUUUUUGUAUGCAACUUCUAAAGGUGUCAUUCAGUAUGUUUUUGCUUUUUAUGCUGUACUGGUAAAUAACUUGGAUUGUCAAGGGAUAUCAGUUUCUUUUUUCAGUUUCUUUAAGUGUGGAGUCCUCAGACUGUCACGGUUGGCCAAUCCCAGUCCUGUCCAUGUGUUCGUGUUUUGUUACUCCGCCCUUGAUUGUGUUCACCUGUCCCUCAUUGUCCCAUGUAUUUAAGCCCUGUGUUUUCCCCUUGUGUUUGUCAGUCUUUGUAUGAAUGUAUUGGUCUGUUUCAUGUCCUUGCUCUGUUUUUAUGUUUGCUUUGUUUGCGUCAUGUCUGAACCCCGUUCUAUCCGUGUCGGCUAUAUGACCUUGGACCGUUAUGACACUGAUUCUGGAUUUGCACUUAAUAAAUCUCACUUAUCUCAGCGUAUGCAUCUGUAACCUAGUACACAAGGUCUAAACCACCUUGUAUAUACAAUAAGGGAUUAAUGAGAACUUGUUUUAUGUGGGUCCGAUAGCAAUGUACUACCGUAGAGUCUGAAUAAAGAAAUAUCAGGCCCAAGCA